UGCUAUGUUGUAGCAGAUUACACAACCUACAGGAAGAAAGAAAAAUCAAAGGAACACACAGGGAAGGAGAUGAGAACAACGAGUUGGGAAGUCAAAAGAGAAGAACUGAAGUAGAAGAGGGAAGAUUAAGAGACAAAGAGGAAUAUAGAGACAACAAAGAGAGUGACCAUAUAUUUUCAAGUGUCAGUACCGAAUGUAACGAGUGGAGUUCCACAGGAGUCUGUGCUGGUUACGAAUGAUUGUGACCAGGUGAAUGUGUUUGACAGGAGACGGGUGAAUGAGAAAUGCAAAUUGAAAUAUUACUCAUGUCUGACGUCUGUGUGAUAUAAUGUUCAUAAAUUACCCCUCAGAGGAUCAAAGAAAGAUGACCAAAUUUCUACCAAAUCAUGCUCCCAGCGUUAAUGACAAUGAGGGAGGAGGAAACUAUGGCAAAAACUUUGCUUUACAACAAAGGCAUGGAUCAUCAGGAUUUAGCCAAUGGAUUGAUGUGGGGUUUGAACUGUUGAUGUGACAGAGAAGAUUGCACAGCUAAAGUAAAUGUGCCCAAUAACUGGAUAAGACCUGCCUUUACUCGUUUGCCUACUUAUUUGCAUAACAAAGAAGAAACAUUUCUCCCGUAAUCCCUCAACAUUUGGAUAAUGGGAAUUGAAAUUGUGCAAUGAAAUCACUUUGCCCGUUCACAUUAGACAAUAAGCCUCCAUCAAGAAGAGAUUACAACAUUUUGCUGCUGAUUGAAGUCAGACUAACUGGCCAGUGUUUCAUGUUUCUUUCCUCUCCUUCAUUGGUUGGAUAGUAGAGAUGCAUUUGUAAAUCUCCAAUUUGUGGGACCAUUUUAGAAUU
This is a long non-coding RNA of Stegostoma tigrinum, 840 nucleotides long. RefSeq lists it as uncharacterized. The record is from RefSeq and is a predicted model, not a curated record. The transcript has 4 exons. Lineage: Eukaryota; Metazoa; Chordata; Chondrichthyes; Orectolobiformes; Stegostomatidae.